RNAcentral lists this long non-coding RNA (220 nucleotides) under Elaeis guineensis (African oil palm). RNAcentral describes it as "long non-coding RNA (EGUI_LNC054765)". Lineage: Eukaryota; Viridiplantae; Streptophyta; Magnoliopsida; Arecales; Arecaceae. The record is from RNAcentral.
CCGACUCUAACACAAACCAACAGAACUAGAAUUGAUUAGAUCAAUUUCAAAGUUUGAUGUAAAGGCAUCCUUGAGUAGAUAUGGUAAAGUACUGUAUUAGCCAAACAGAUACUUCAGUUUCUAGAUUCGGGAUAGAGAUUUGAUCUUCCAUACAGAUGCAAUACAAAGAUCUAACUUUAAGAAGUGGUUUGGAGCUAAUAAAUCUAAAAUGAAAUCCAUG